This is a non-coding RNA of Ceratotherium simum simum (southern white rhinoceros), 101 nucleotides long. NCBI's taxonomy places the organism in Eukaryota, Metazoa, Chordata, Mammalia, Perissodactyla, Rhinocerotidae. The record is from RefSeq and is a predicted model, not a curated record.
CAGAUGCAUGGUGUGAUUCUCUGACUGGAAAAUGAACCCGGGCUGUGGUGGUGAGAAUGCUGAAUCUUAACCACUAGACCACCAGAGCUGGUCAUGUGCCA